Long non-coding RNA from Gorilla gorilla gorilla (western lowland gorilla), 638 nucleotides. RefSeq lists it as uncharacterized. The transcript has 3 exons. The record is from RefSeq and is a predicted model, not a curated record. NCBI's taxonomy places the organism in Eukaryota, Metazoa, Chordata, Mammalia, Primates, Hominidae.
CUUGUCUUGUGCCAAUAAAAUUUAGGACAUGGAAACAUACAAGGAGUUUAGGAGUGGAGGUUUAAUAGGCAGAAGAAAGAGAAAGAACAGCUGAGAGGGGCUUCCUAAAGGAAAAGACUAGCCAGCAGCGGAUGCUCCGGAUUUUGCAGAAAGGCUUGAGGAGGCAGUGUCUGAUUUACCUAUAGCCCACGGAUUGCAGGUGUGAUGUUUACAUAGCAUGCGGGGAAGGAUGGCCACCCAAUCCUAAUCUUAUUAUGCAAAUGAGCUUUCCACUCGACUAGCGCCAUCUUGUCUGCUUCUUACUAUACACGUGGCUGACAAACAGAAGGGAAGAUGGAACCGCCAUUUUGGACGUGAUUGGCACAAGUACUGGCAUCCAUGCCUGCAGCUCGAUUUUACAGACUGCUCUUCAUUAGAAAGGAAAGUUAUUUGGGGCUGCGUUUCAUUAAAAGGAAAACCUUGCCAACGACUUCUGUACCCUCACUAUCUGCGUCUCUUGGCCACAAUGUAUCCUUUCGCAUCCCUCAUCCAGAUAAAGACCACACUGUGUAACAGGUGGAUUGACUCCAGGUGCUCAGAGGGAGGAGGCAGCACUACCAGGAGAAAAGGAUAGUCAUGAUCACCAAAGAGCAUUCACC